Molecule: long non-coding RNA, 1333 nt
Filed under: Gouania willdenowi (blunt-snouted clingfish)
Lineage: Eukaryota; Metazoa; Chordata; Actinopteri; Blenniiformes; Gobiesocidae
Description: lncRNA (ENSGWIG00000020772.1)
Source: RNAcentral
GUGGAACUGUGCAGCUGAUACCCUUAGCUAUCAGUACAGGAUAAUUGAACAUUCUACGCUGACAAUGAGGACAGCGUAUCAAGUGUUAGCCAGUCAAUAUGACCCAUUAGGGUUCAUGGUGCCAUUCACAACCCGAGCCAAGGUGCUUAUACAGCAGUUCUGGUCCAAAAAAAGGGGCUGGGAUGAUCCUGACCUACCGCCUGUCCUCAGAGAAGCCUGGGAAAACUGGGAGAGUGAGCUGAAGCACCUCAGCAGUGUAUCCAUACCCCGUUGUUACUCACCUGUCCCAGUAGAAGGUACAGAUGUCAAGUGCGACCUCCAUGUAUUUUGUGAUGCCUCGGAGCAAGCAUAUGGAGCAGUCGCAUACCUUACAGUCUAUGCAGGUGACACUAUUCACACCUCCUUCGUGAUGGCAAGAUCCAGAGUUGCUCCGAAAAGGCAACAGUCUAUUCCCCGCUUGGAGCUCUGCGCAGCACUAGCCGGAGCUCAACUCGCCAAGCUCAUAGAAACUGAGAUGUCACUCCCUCUCCGACAAACAGUCCUGUGGUCUGACUCUACCACCGUAUUGGAGUGGCUACAAUCCGAUUCCUGUCGUUAUAAGGUGUUUGUCGGAACUCGGGUGUCAGAAAUACAGGAGCUGACUGACCGAAGGUCCUGGCGCUACGUGGACAGUCUAAACAAUCCGGCCGAUGACAUAACCAGGGGAAAGCCACUGUUGGAUCUUGCAGAACAUGGUCGCUGGAGUCAAGGCCCCCUGUAUCUCAAGCAAAGCACAGAACACUGGCCGACGAAGCCUAAGCAAACUACGACAGGAGGCUUGUCUGAACUUAAAGGUAUCACCCUUUGUUGCUUCACGACCGUGGAGCCCAAUAACAGCAUUCCUGAUUCUAGUCAGCAUAGCUCAUGGGAGAAGCUGGUGGAGGCAACUCAACGAGCUCACGGGGCGGCCACAGAUCAAGAACAUGAUCAGCCCCUCAGUCGUAGAGAUGCAGAGGUACUGUUGUUGAGAGGGUGUCAAGCUCAUAGCUUCUCUGAGGAAGUUGCAGCGCUUAAAGCACAGAAACCUGUCCCAACUCACAGUCGUCUCAUCAACCUUGCUCCAGAGUGGGAUGAUGAAACUGGUCUCAUUCGUGUGGGGGGAAGGUUGCGAAGACUGCAGAAUCUAAGUAUCGGUGAGAUUCAUCCAGUUGUGCUGGAUUCAAGGCAUCCUGCAGUGAAACUCCUCAUCAAGGACAUGGAUGAACAUCUCUUACACCCCGGUACAGAACGAGUCUAUGCGGAGUUGAGGAGACAGUAUUGGAUCAUACGAGGACGUCAGGCCAUCCGACACCAC